CGAGAUUAUGUGCCCUAUGUUGAGCCAAGUUCAAACUACACAACUUCUGGAGGGUCUCAAGGUUACCUUCUUGUUCAUACAAAUGGUGGAUUAAAUCAGAUGCGAGCUGGGAUAUGUGACAUGGUUGCUGUUGCCCGAAUUAUAAAUGCUACUCUUGUAAUUCCAGAACUUGAUAAGCAGUCAUUUUGGCAGGACA
This is a non-coding RNA of Camellia sinensis, 196 nucleotides long. The record is from RefSeq and is a predicted model, not a curated record. Lineage: Eukaryota; Viridiplantae; Streptophyta; Magnoliopsida; Ericales; Theaceae.